This 430-nucleotide unclassified non-coding RNA is filed under the name soil metagenome. RNAcentral's name for it is "partial contains 5.8S ribosomal RNA, internal transcribed spacer 2, and large subunit ribosomal RNA". The stretch from base 1 to 120 matches the Rfam family "5.8S ribosomal RNA", at positions 35 to 154 of the family's 154-position model. The record is from RNAcentral.
GAUGAAGAACGUAGCGAAAUGCGAUACGUAAUGUGAAUUGCAGAAUUCAGUGAAUCAUCGAAUCUUUGAACGCAUAUUGCGCUCUCUGGUAUUCCGGAGAGCAUGCUUGUUUGAGUAUCAGUAAACACCUCAACUCCCUUUUCUUUUUUGAAAUUGGAGCUGGACUUGAGUGAUCCCAACGCUUUCUUCCAAGAAAGUGGCGGGUUGCUUGAAAUGCAGGUGCAGCUGAACUUUUCUCUGAGCUAUAAGCAUAUCUAUUUAGUCUGCCUAAAAAACAGAUUAUUACCUUUGCUGCAGCUAACAUAAAGGAGACUAGUUCUUGUGCUGACUGAUGCAGGAUUCACAGAGACAGCUUCGGCUGACUUUGUAAACUCGAUCUCAAAUCAAGUAAGACUACCCGCUGAACUUAAGCAUAUCAAUAAGCGCAGGA